This is a small nucleolar RNA of Drosophila subobscura, 73 nucleotides long. RefSeq annotates it as small nucleolar RNA Me28S-Cm2645. The transcript has a single exon. NCBI's taxonomy places the organism in Eukaryota, Metazoa, Arthropoda, Insecta, Diptera, Drosophilidae. The record is from RefSeq and is a predicted model, not a curated record.
GUCUUUCUGAUAAUAACUUUGAUAGGGACACCUGAUGUCAAUGAGUGAUCUAUCAUGUUUUUUACAUUCAGUU